RNAcentral lists this microRNA precursor (86 nucleotides) under Ailuropoda melanoleuca (giant panda). RNAcentral's name for it is "mir-551". The stretch from base 7 to 80 matches the Rfam family "mir-551 microRNA precursor family". Lineage: Eukaryota; Metazoa; Chordata; Mammalia; Carnivora; Ursidae. The record is from RNAcentral.
GCCGGGUGACCCCGGAAAUCCAGAGUGGGUGAGGCCUGUCUGACCGUUUCUAGGCGACCCACUCUUGGUUUCCAUGGUUGCCCUGG